This is a long non-coding RNA of Salvelinus fontinalis (brook trout), 906 nucleotides long. RefSeq lists it as uncharacterized. NCBI's taxonomy places the organism in Eukaryota, Metazoa, Chordata, Actinopteri, Salmoniformes, Salmonidae. The record is from RefSeq and is a predicted model, not a curated record. The transcript has 5 exons.
GAGAGAAGAGGCCAGAAGCCUUUCAGCCUUUGCUUGUUUCUUUGUUCAUUAUCGUCUUUAAUGAGGGUUAGAUGUUGCCUAGUUAUGGCUGUCUUCUAAUCUAGUAGCUUUAAAAAAUGUUUUUUUUAUUGUGCAUAUUUAUUUAGUCAACAACCAAGUGGUCAAGAACUCGCAGCAGUUUACAUUCAGAUGCAUGUCCCAGAUUAAACCAAGGAAUCCUCUUGUAAAGAAGCAUUCUCUACUCCCUGAUUGGUUAGUCGUCUCUACACUCUGAUACUAGUACCUUGGUGUGACCUGAGGCUCAGCCGACGUCAUGGCUAUCUCUCCCACCGUAACCCUUCACCUGGACGAUGGUGUGGUGCGUGGUCUGGACCUGCAGUCCUGUGCUGCCCAGCUGUGUAAAGGACAUGGUCACUGUGUGGCUCAGGGACAGGCCACCACCUGUGAGUGUAUCCUGGGGUACAGAGGAGAGUUCUGCCAUGAGAGUGUCAAUGAGGCAAUCAGUGUUCCUCUCACCCUGGGGGUAUUGGCCUUUAUCGUUGGCAUCCUCAUCCUCUCCUUCAUCAUUGCUUUCAUCAGGCGAAGGGUCAAGGUCAAAAGGAAAGCUGCAGCCAAGGAUUGCAAUGGUUUAGAGAAAGACAUUCUGUAGCACCACCAUACUCAAGGUUUGGUUGACGGUCCAACAUCAGAGCACAUCCCCUUCAUCAGGCUUUAUCCCCGGUAUAAACAAUUAUAUACUGUAGUACUAUUUAUAUGAACAACUAUAUACUGUAGUACUAUUUAUAUAAACAAUUAUAUACUGUAGUACUAUUUAUAUAAACAAUUAUAUACUGUAGUACUAUUUAUAUAAACAACUAUAUACUGUAGUACUAUUUAUAUAAACAACUAUUUAUAUAAACAACUAUA